GACGAACGCUGGCGGCGUGCCUAAUACAUGCAAGUAGAACGCUGAAGAGAGGAGCUUGCUCUUCUUGGAUGAGUUGCGAACGGGUGAGUAACGCGUAGGUAACCUGCCUUGUAGCGGGGGAUAACUAUUGGAAACGAUAGCUAAUACCGCAUAACAAUGGAUGACCCAUGUCAUUUAUUUGAAAGGGGCAAAUGCUCCACUACAAGAUGGACCUGCGUUGUAUUAGCUAGUAGGUGAGGUAACGGCUCACCUAGGCGACGAUACAUAGCCGACCUGAGAGGGUGAUCGGCCACACUGGGACUGAGACACGGCCCAGACUCCUACGGGAGGCAGCAGUAGGGAAUCUUCGGCAAUGGGGGCAACCCUGACCGAGCAACGCCGCGUGAGUGAAGAAGGUUUUCGGAUCGUAAAGCUCUGUUGUAAGUCAAGAACGAGUGUGAGAGUGGAAAGUUCACACUGUGACGGUAGCUUACCAGAAAGGGACGGCUAACUACGUGCCAGCAGCCGCGGUAAUACGUAGGUCCCGAGCGUUGUCCGGAUUUAUUGGGCGUAAAGCGAGCGCAGGCGGUUUGAUAAGUCUGAAGUUAAAGGCUGUGGCUCAACCAUAGUUCGCUUUGGAAACUGUCAAACUUGAGUGCAGAAGGGGAGAGUGGAAUUCCAUGUGUAGCGGUGAAAUGCGUAGAUAUAUGGAGGAACACCGGUGGCGAAAGCGGCUCUCUGGUCUGUAACUGACGCUGAGGCUCGAAAGCGUGGGGAGCGAACAGGAUUAGAUACCCUGGUAGUCCACGCCGUAAACGAUGAGUGCUAGGUGUUGGAUCCUUUCCGGGAUUCAGUGCCGCAGCUAACGCAUUAAGCACUCCGCCUGGGGAGUACGACCGCAAGGUUGAAACUCAAAGGAAUUGACGGGGGCCCGCACAAGCGGUGGAGCAUGUGGUUUAAUUCGAAGCAACGCGAAGAACCUUACCAGGUCUUGACAUCCCGAUGCUAUUUCUAGAGAUAGAAAGUUACUUCGGUACAUCGGUGACAGGUGGUGCAUGGUUGUCGUCAGCUCGUGUCGUGAGAUGUUGGGUUAAGUCCCGCAACGAGCGCAACCCCUAUUGUUAGUUGCCAUCAUUCAGUUGGGCACUCUAGCGAGACUGCCGGUAAUAAACCGGAGGAAGGUGGGGAUGACGUCAAAUCAUCAUGCCCCUUAUGACCUGGGCUAUACACGUGCUACAAUGGUUGGUACAACGAGUUGCGAGUCGGUGACGGCAAGCUAAUCUCUUAAAGCCAAUCUCAGUUCGGAUUGUAGGCUGCAACUCGCCUACAUGAAGUCGGAAUCGCUAGUAAUCGCGGAUCAGCACGCCGCGGUGAAUACGUUCCCGGGCCU
This 1369-nucleotide ribosomal RNA is filed under the name uncultured bacterium. Its description in RNAcentral is "bacterial SSU rRNA". It matches the Rfam family "Bacterial small subunit ribosomal RNA", at positions 28 to 1381 of the family's 1533-position model. The record is from RNAcentral.